This 254-nucleotide ribosomal RNA is filed under the name uncultured bacterium. Its description in RNAcentral is "partial 16S ribosomal RNA". It matches the Rfam family "Bacterial small subunit ribosomal RNA", at positions 524 to 776 of the family's 1533-position model. The record is from RNAcentral.
UACGUAGGGUGCGAGCGUUGUCCGGAAUUACUGGGCGUAAAGGGUGCGCAGGCGGCGGUUCGCGUGGCGAGAUGAAAUCUCCUGGCUUACCUGGGAGGAUGGUCGCCAGACGGGAUCGCUUGAGGGUCGGAGAGGGGCGUGGAAUUCCGGGUGGAGCGGUGAAAUGCGUAGAUAUCGAGAGGAACACCUGCGGCGAAGGCGGGUAGCUGGGCCGACACUGACGCUGAGGCGCGAAAGCCAGGGGAGCGAACGGG